Molecule: ribosomal RNA, 492 nt
Filed under: uncultured bacterium
Lineage: Bacteria
Description: partial 16S ribosomal RNA
Rfam family: Bacterial small subunit ribosomal RNA
Source: RNAcentral
AGUGAACGCUGGCGGUAGGCCUAACACAUGCAAGUCGAACGGCAGCACAGUAAGAGCUUGCUCUUACGGGUGGCGAGUGGCGGACGGGUGAGGAAUACAUCGGAAUCUACUUUUUCGUGGGGGAUAAGGUAGGGAAACUUACGCUAAUACCGCAGACGACCUACGGGUGAAAGCAGGGGAUCUUCGGACCGGGCGCGAUUGAAUGAGCCGAUGUCGGAUUAGCUAGUUGGCGGGGUAAAGGCCCACUAAGGCGACGAUCCGUAGCUGGUCUGAGAGGAUGAUCGGCGACACUGGAACUGGGACAGCGUCCAGACUCCUACGGGAGGCAGCAGUGGGGAAUAUUGGACAAUGGGCGCAAGCCUGAUCCAGCCAUACCGAGUGGGUUAAGAAGGCCUUCGGGUUGUAAAGCCCUUUUGUUGGGAAAGAAAAGCAGCAGGUUAAUACCCCGCUGUUCUGACGGUACCCAAAGAAUAAGCACCGGCUAACUUCGUG